This is a long non-coding RNA of Alligator mississippiensis (American alligator), 2807 nucleotides long. RefSeq lists it as uncharacterized. The transcript is spliced from 3 exons. NCBI's taxonomy places the organism in Eukaryota, Metazoa, Chordata, Crocodylia, Alligatoridae. The record is from RefSeq and is a predicted model, not a curated record.
UCUGGCCCUUGAACUGAGGCAAAGAACCCUGGAGUAGGAGCCCAGUUGUGGUUGAUUAGCUGAUAAUUAAAUGAGCUUGUAUUGGGGAAAGAGCAGUUUGUGGUCAGGAGGCAGACUGGAAAUGAGAGGAGCUUGCUUCUAGGAAAGGUUAAAGGGCCUUUUUCUGCUGCCUGGAGAAAAGCAAAAGAAGCGUGAAGCUCUCAAUCGAUUGUUUGGAUGGAUAUAGGAUGGAUGGUAAGGAAUCACAAACACUCACCCAGAGAAGGUGCUGGUUGUGGACAGCUCCAAGGCACAGUGAGACGAGAGAUUUGGCUAAAGGCAUUUUUGGUGACAUGACCUAGCCCAGGAUGCAGAGAGAUGAAUUGAAAUCACUGUUGCAGAUCCUCAGGUUGUGUAAAUCAGCACAGCACUGUUGGAUUUACCCAACUCAGGAUCUGGUCCACAGGGACUUACAGGGAAAUAUGCUCCCUUUGAUCCACUACAAUCUUUGCCUUUUAUUUCUUUCCUUCCUUUCUCCUCUCCUGUGCAUUUCUCACCCUUCCUGUCUCUGCAAGUCUCUUCUGGUCUCUUGACUCCAGUUGUACCUUUAUAGAACUCCAAGUUUUUAGUCCUCCAACCACUAAUGGGAGUGAAGCUCGUCACUGACUUCUCAUGCCUGGGCUUUACACGUGACACUAUCAUCAGAUGACAGGAGGCAGGGAAGUGGAUACCUCUGAGUCAUUGUUUCAGGAUGUCUCCGGGCUCAGACUAAUAGAAAUGCGUUCAUUUACAUACUAAUUACAUUAAAGGUAUCUCUGAAGUCAAGGGGCGUAGAAACUUUCUUUUGCACUUUAAAUGGGGAAAACAAUGGAAUUCUGCACAAUCGGAAUAUACAAAUCUGCUUGGAUAUGGACCACAGGUUUCAUGUAAGACUAAUUUGGUAUGUCUACAUAUGCAUUUAAGCACGCCUAAAUUUAAUAAACAUUAGCUUAAUGUGCAUUAAGUGGGUUUAGGCAGACAUCUAUAUGUAUAGGUGUUAAAGUGUUUACUGAUUUGGGACUAAAGUUAGUCCCAACUGACUGGAUUUGGGACUAAAGCUAGACCCAAAACAGUCCAUAAACACAGUGUUAACACACUUCAAUGCGUCUACAUGUGCAUUAAUGCGCUUUAACUAUUCAUGCCGAAAUUUGAUACCAGUAUUUGCAGAUAUCAAAUUUAGGUGUGAAUAGCCCCAAAUUGCCAUUUUUCAAGUGCAUUAAGGGCAUGCACGUGUAGACGCACACCCUAAUGUACCUUUAAUUUAGGCUAAUACGCCUUAAAGCAUCUCAUGCAGAUGUGACCAUUGAGGCUGAAAUGUAUCAAGCUGUUUAUUGUAUAAUGUAAAAAAGCAUGCAAGGAAUAUUUCUUUUUGCUGUAUUUACCUCAAACAGUUGGAAGUUUCUGAAGGCAGUGAAUCUGAAAUUAAGAUCAAAACCAGAGUGGGUAGUGGAUUUUCACUUUGGCCAGAGACAGGUCAAAAUGUUUGUGUUUUAGUAUUGCAAAAAGAUUUUUAUUUUUGAAAAGCAACUCCACCAGUAAACAAACAAACAAAGGAAACCUAAUCAGAUUUGUUCCUAACUGAGUUUUCAUUUGGUUAGAGCUAAAAGCAUUAAAUCAGAUAACAGGUUCUGACAUUGGAUCAUGUCAGCUAUUUACAUAAACAACCCUGCUCUUUUGAAUUAAGAACCGUUGCAUGGUAGUAUUUUGGGAGUCAGCCAAGAUACACUGCCUUGCUACUGGUACCCUCACACUGCCCCAGCCUGGCUGCAAUAGAGCUGCAACUCAGGAAAAGAAAGAGAACAACUGAUUGUACGCGGACCACAGGAAGUAGAGAUGUAGAUCAGCAAGCCACUAAAACACAUAUCCUGGGGUAAUGCAGCCCAGGUUUUUGGCUGGUGUAAAUCAUUAUAAAUGUAUUGAAGCCAACAGUGCUGUUGAUUUACACCCGUUAAGGAUUUUGCCCUGUGUUUGCAGUAGGAAAUGAUUCACAAAGAGGUGUGCAGCUUUUAUCAUGCUUGGAGGUUUGUUGAGAAAUGGAAGUUAAAGGAACACAUCUUCAUGUUGCAAGCUUUUCUCCUAUGAUUCGGUUAUUUUUUUAAAGGUGUUUAAUAGAACUCUGAAGUAGCUUUCACCCCUCCCUUCAAGGCCGGCUUGAACCUUACCUAAAAUUGGACGCUUAGGCCCCAUAUUGGGCGGCAGUCCUCUCCUUCUUAGCUGUCAACUCAUGAAUUCAAAGCAGUGUAAAACAGAGCAGACCUUUCAAUCAAGCCCUCCAACAUGCAGAUCCAUCGUUUACUCUUUCCUUGCAAAUGAGUUUUCUAAUAUCUAUCGUCCCCCUCCCAGAGAGAAGGGGAAGGGGGGGGAGCUUUAUUUAUUUAGACUGCUUUACUGCUUGAUCAGAAUUACCCGGCUGAGAGUAGGAUUUCAAUAGCACCUUAUCUGGGGUCUCUCUCUCUCCCCCCUCCCCCUCUGUUUAAUGCUUGAAAUCAGAAAUGGGCUGUGUAUUUUUUUAAUUACAAUGGAAAGAGAAUAGGAUUGAACAGUUAAGUUGAAAUAAAAUAAUAAAAACACUUUAAAACUACAAUGUGAAUGAAAAAUGAUGGUUUUACUCUUUGCCUUAAAGUAAAAUAGCUUUUAUCUUUUUUCUCCCCCCCUUACAACAGCCUCCUCUACCUAGAUAAUGCAUUUGGUUAGAUUUAUUUGCUCAGCCCAGAAAACUUGACACUAAGGGGAUUAUUUAGUUUUAGAUUCGCUGUAGUCCAUGGUAAUAGCCAACAGGGAAAGGAAUG